Molecule: ribosomal RNA, 371 nt
Filed under: uncultured organism
Description: bacterial SSU rRNA
Rfam family: Bacterial small subunit ribosomal RNA
Source: RNAcentral
CGUAGGGUGCAAGCGUUAAUCGGAAUUACUGGGCGUAAAGCGUGCGCAGGCGGUUUUGUAAGACAGGCGUGAAAUCCCCGGGCUCAACCUGGGAAUUGCGCUUGUGACUGCGAAGCUGGAGUGCGGCAGAGGGGGAUGGAAUUCCGCGUGUAGCAGUGAAAUGCGUAGAUAUGCGGAGGAACACCGAUGGCGAAGGCAAUCCCCUGGGCCUGCACUGACGCUCAUGCACGGAAAGCGUGGGGAGCAAACAGGAUUAGAUACCCUGGUAGUCCACGCCCUAAACGAUGUCAACUGGUUGUUGGGUCUCUUCUGACUCAGUAACGAAGCUAACGCGUGAAGUUGACCGCCUGGGGAGUACGGCCGCAAGGUUG